CGUAAGGGGCAAGCGUUGUCCGGAAUCACUGGGCGUAAAGCGCACGUAGGCGGUUUAGCAAGUUAGGGGUGCAAGCUCCAGGCUUAACCUGGAAACUGCCUCUAAAACUACUUCACUUGAGUAUUAGAGGGGAAGCUGGAAUUCACGGUGUAGCGGUGAAAUGUGUAGAUAUCGUGGAGAACACCCGUGGCGAAGGCGGGCUUCUGGCUAAUAACUGACGCUGAGGUGCGAAAGCUAGGGGAGCGAACGGGAUUAGAUACCCCGGUAGUCCUAGCCGUAAACGAUGAGUACUAGGUGUGGGGGGUAAAUCCUCCGUGCCGACGCCAACGCAUUAAGUACUCCGCCUGGGGACUACGGCCGCAAGGUUA
This 368-nucleotide ribosomal RNA is filed under the name uncultured organism. Its description in RNAcentral is "bacterial SSU rRNA". It matches the Rfam family "Bacterial small subunit ribosomal RNA", at positions 526 to 896 of the family's 1533-position model. The record is from RNAcentral.